GUAGGUGGCAAGCGUUGUCCGGAAUUAUUGGGCGUAAAGCGCGCGCAGGCGGUUUUUUAAGUCUGAUGUGAAAGCCCACGGCUCAACCGUGGAGGGUCAUUGGAAACUGGAGAACUUGAGUACAGAAGAGGAAAGCGGAAUUCCACGUGUAGCGGUGAAAUGCGUAGAGAUGUGGAGGAACACCAGUGGCGAAGGCGGCUUUCUGGUCUGUAACUGACGCUGAGGCGCGAAAGCGUGGGGAGCAAACAGGAUUAGAUACCCUGGUAGUCCACGCCGUAAACGAUGAGUGCUAAGUGUUAGGGGGUUUCCCGCCCCCCUUAGUGCUGCAGCUAACGCAUUAAGCACUCCGCCUGGGGAGUACGGCCGCAAGGCUG
Molecule: ribosomal RNA, 374 nt
Filed under: uncultured organism
Description: partial 16S ribosomal RNA
Rfam family: Bacterial small subunit ribosomal RNA
Source: RNAcentral